Molecule: ribosomal RNA, 440 nt
Filed under: uncultured bacterium
Lineage: Bacteria
Description: partial 16S ribosomal RNA
Rfam family: Bacterial small subunit ribosomal RNA
Source: RNAcentral
CCUACGGGAGGCAGCAGUGGGGAAUAUUGCACAAUGGGGGAAACCCUAAUGCAGCGACGCCGCGUGAGUGAAGAAGUAAUUCGGUAUGUAAAGCUCUAUCAGCAGGGAAGAAAAUGACGGUACCUGAGUAAGAAGCCACGGCUAAAUACGUGCCAGCAGCCGCGGUAAUACGUAGGGGGCAAGCGUUAUCCGGAUUUAAUGGGUGUAAAGGGAGCGUAGACGGAAGUGGAAGUCUGGAGUGAAAGGCGAGGGCUCAACCCCCGGACUGCUCUUGAAACUGUACGGCUGGAGUACAGGAGAGGUAAGAGGAAUGCCUAGUGUAGCGGUGAAAUGCGUAGAUAUUAGGAGGAACACCAGUGGCGAAGGCGGCUGACUGGACUGUAACUGACGUUGAGGCUCGAAAGCGUGGGGAGCAAACAGGAUUAGAUACCCGGGUAGUC